This 464-nucleotide ribosomal RNA is filed under the name uncultured bacterium. Its description in RNAcentral is "SSU rRNA". It matches the Rfam family "Bacterial small subunit ribosomal RNA", at positions 26 to 518 of the family's 1533-position model. The record is from RNAcentral.
AGGAUUAACGCUGGCGGCGUGCCUGACACAUGCAAGUCGAACGAGGCCGCAAGGCCGAGUGGCGGACGGGUGAGUAACACGUGACCAACCAACCUCGAAGUUGGGAAUAGCUCUGCGAAAGUAGGGGUAAUACCGAAUGUGGCCCAGGGCGGGCAUCCGCCUUGGUCUAAAGAUUCAUCGCUUCGAGGCGGGGUCGCGGCCUAUUAGCUUGUUGGUGAGGUAACGGCUCACCAAGGCGAUGAUGGGUAGCUGGUCUGAGAGGACGACCAGCCACACUGGGACUGAGACACGGCCCAGACUCCUACGGGAGGCAGCAGUGAGGAAUCUUCCGCAAUGGGCGAAAGCCUGACGGAGCAACGCCGCGUGUGGGAUGAAAGACUCUAGGGUUGUAAACCACUGUCGGAGGGGACGAUCGUGACGGUACCCUCCAAGAAAGCCCCGGCUAACUACGUGCCAGCAGCCGC